GUCGGCGUAGUUUAGCCUGGUUAGAGCGCCACGCUCAUAAAGACAAUCUUUGAGCGAUGAGACGAAAGUCAAUGAAGAAAGAUUGUGGUGCACCGUGGAAGUCGGGGGUUCAAAUCCCCUCGCCGACA
Molecule: transfer RNA, 128 nt
Filed under: marine sediment metagenome
Rfam family: tRNA
About the family: Transfer RNA (tRNA) molecules are approximately 80 nucleotides in length.
Source: RNAcentral